This 468-nucleotide ribosomal RNA is filed under the name uncultured bacterium. RNAcentral's name for it is "partial 16S ribosomal RNA". It matches the Rfam family "Bacterial small subunit ribosomal RNA", at positions 28 to 507 of the family's 1533-position model. The record is from RNAcentral.
GACGAACGCUGGCGGCGUGCUUAACACAUGCAAGUCGAACGGAAAGGCCCUGCUUUUGUGGGGUGCUCGAGUGGCGAACGGGUGAGUAACACGUGAGUAACCUGCCCUUGACUUUGGGAUAACUUCAGGAAACUGGGGCUAAUACCGGAUAGGAGCUCCUGCUGCAUGGUGGGGGUUGGAAAGUUUCGGCGGUUGGGGAUGGGCUCGCGGCUUAUCAGCUUGUUGGUGGGGUAGUGGCUUACCAAGGCUUUGACGGGUAGCCGGCCUGAGAGGGUGAACGGCGACAUUGGGACUGAGAUACGGCCCAGACUCCUACGGGAGGCAGCAGUGGGGAAUAUUGCACAAUGGGCGGAAGCCUGAUGCAGCAACGCCGCGUGCGGGAUGACGGCCUUCGGGUUGUAAACCGCUUUCGCCUGUGACGAAGCGUGAGUGACGGUAAUGGGUAAAGAAGCACCGGCUAACUACGUG